This 253-nucleotide ribosomal RNA is filed under the name uncultured bacterium. Its description in RNAcentral is "partial 16S ribosomal RNA". It matches the Rfam family "Bacterial small subunit ribosomal RNA", at positions 524 to 776 of the family's 1533-position model. The record is from RNAcentral.
UACAGAGGGGGCAAGCGUUGUUCGGAAUUACUGGGCGUAAAGGGCGCGUAGGCGGCCUGUUAAGUCGGACGUGAAAUCCCCGGGCUCAACCCGGGAACUGCGUCCGAUACUGGCAGGCUUGAAUCCGGGAGAGGGAUGCGGAAUUCCAGGUGUAGCGGUGAAAUGCGUAGAUAUCUGGAGGAACACCGGUGGCGAAGGCGGCAUCCUGGACCGGCAUUGACGCUGGGGCGCGAAAGCCAGGGGAGCAAACGGG